UGCAGUCGAGCGGAACGACUUAACUGAACCUUCGGGGGACGUUAAGGGCGUCGAGCGGCGGACGGGUGAGUAAUGCCUGGGAAUAUGCCUUGAUGUGGGGGAUAACUAUUGGAAACGAUAGCUAAUACCGCAUAAUGCCUUCGGGCCAAAGAGGGGGACCUUCGGGCCUCUCGCGUCAAGAUUAGCCCAGGUGGGAUUAGCUAGUUGGUGAGGUAAAGGCUCACCAAGGCGACGAUCCCUAGCUGGUCUGAGAGGAUGAUCAGCCACACUGGAACCGAGACACGGUCCAGACUCCUACGGGAGGCAGCAGUGGGGAAUAUUGCACAAUGGGCGCAAGCCUGAUGCAGCCAUGCCGCGUGUGUGAAGAAGGCCUUCGGGUUGUAAAGCACUUUCAGUCGUGAGGAAGGUAGUGUAGUUAAUAGCUGCAUUAUUUGACGUUAGCGACAGAAGAAGCACCGGCUAACUCCGUGCCAGCAGCCGCGGUAAUACGGAGGGUGCGAGCGUUAAUCGGAAUUACUGGGCGUAAAGCGCAUGCAGGUGGGUGAUUAAGUCAGAUGUGAAAGCCCGGGGCUCAACCUCGGAACAGCAUUUGAAACUGGUCACCUAGAGUACUGUAGAGGGGGGUAGAAUUUCAGGUGUAGCGU
Molecule: ribosomal RNA, 644 nt
Filed under: uncultured Vibrio sp.
Lineage: Bacteria; Pseudomonadati; Pseudomonadota; Gammaproteobacteria; Vibrionales; Vibrionaceae
Description: bacterial SSU rRNA
Rfam family: Bacterial small subunit ribosomal RNA
Source: RNAcentral